GUAAAAAAAAAACUAUAAAACCCCACUCCCCUUGAUUUUUUACACAAAAAAGUCCUCCUAUCCAAAUUCUCUCAAAUUCUCUCAAAUUCUUCCAAAAAUUCUCUCAUAUUCUCUCAAAUUUUCUCAAAGCUAUCUUUAAUUUUUGCAAAAAAGCUCUAUUUAAAUUUUUUUUUGAAUUAGUUGUAUUUUAAAUUAAAUUUUUGCAAUGGAAAAAGAAUUAAUU
RNAcentral lists this long non-coding RNA (223 nucleotides) under Gossypium barbadense (sea-island cotton). Its description in RNAcentral is "long non-coding RNA (GBAR_LNC008472)". Lineage: Eukaryota; Viridiplantae; Streptophyta; Magnoliopsida; Malvales; Malvaceae. The record is from RNAcentral.